UACGGAAGGGGCAAGCGUUGUUCGGAAUCAUUGGGCGUAAAGGGCGCGUAGGUGGCUCUGUGUGUCUACCGUGAAAGCGUACGGCUCAACCGUAUUUUGUCGGUAGAAACUGCAGGACUUGAGGCUGGGAGGGGCUGGUGGAAUUCCCUGUGUAGCGGUGAAAUGCGUAGAGAUGGGGGAGAACACUCGUGGCGAAGGCGGCCAGCUAGACCAGUUCUGACACUGAGGCGCGAAAGCGUGGGGAGCAAACAGG
This 253-nucleotide ribosomal RNA is filed under the name uncultured bacterium. Its description in RNAcentral is "partial 16S ribosomal RNA". It matches the Rfam family "Bacterial small subunit ribosomal RNA", at positions 524 to 776 of the family's 1533-position model. The record is from RNAcentral.